CCUGGGUAUGGUGGUGCAUACCUGUAAUCCAAGUUACUUGUGAGGCUGAGAAAGAAGGAUUGCAAGUUUGAGGUCAGCCUGGGCAAUUUAGCAAGACUUUUGUCUCAAA
RNAcentral lists this small RNA (109 nucleotides) under Marmota monax (woodchuck). The record is from RNAcentral. Lineage: Eukaryota; Metazoa; Chordata; Mammalia; Rodentia; Sciuridae.